This 431-nucleotide ribosomal RNA is filed under the name uncultured bacterium. RNAcentral's name for it is "partial 16S ribosomal RNA". It matches the Rfam family "Bacterial small subunit ribosomal RNA", at positions 29 to 507 of the family's 1533-position model. The record is from RNAcentral.
AACGAACGCUGGCGGCAGGCUUAACACAUGCAAGUCGAGCGCCCCGCCAGGGGUGCGGCUGACGGGUGAGUACCGCGUGGGAACGUACCUUUUGGUUCGGAACAACUCCGGGUUACUGGAGCUAUUACCGGAUAAGCCCUAACGGGGAAAGAUUUAUCGCCUAAAGAUUGGCCCGCGUCUGAUUAGCUCGUUGGUCAGGUAACGGCUCACCAAGGCGACGAUCAGUAGCUGGUCUGAGAGGAUGAUCAGCCACACUGGGACUAAGACACGGCCCAGACUCCUACGGGAGGCAGCAGUGAGGAAUAUAGGACAAUGGGCGCGAGCCUGAUCCAUCCAUGCCGCGUAAGUGAUGAAGGCCUUAGGGUUGUAGAGCUCAUUUGUCCGGGAAGGUAAUGACUGUACCAGAAGAAUAAGCCCCGGCUAACUUCGUG